CCUACGGGUGGCAGCAGUGAGGAAUAUUGGUCAAUGGCCGUAAGGCUGACCCAGCAACGCCGCGUGAAGGAAGAAGGCUUUCGGGUUGUAAACUUCUUUUCUUAGGGACGAAGCAAGUGACGGUACCUGAUGAAUAAGCCACGGCUAACUACGUGCCAGCAGCCGCGGUAAUACGUAGGUGGCAAGCGUUAUCCGGAUUUACUGGGUGUAAAGGGCGUGUAGGCGGGAAAGCAAGUCAGAUGUGAAAACCAUGGGCUCAACCUGUGGCCUGCAUUUGAAACUGUUUUUCUUGAGUACUGGAGAGGCAGACGGAAUUCCUAGUGUAGCGGUGAAAUGCGUAGAUAUUAGGAAGAACACCAGUGGCGAAGGCGGUCUGCUGGACAGCAACUGACGCUGAGGCGCGAAAGCGUGGGGAGCAAACAGGAUUAGAUACCCCUGUAGUC
Molecule: ribosomal RNA, 443 nt
Filed under: uncultured bacterium
Lineage: Bacteria
Description: partial 16S ribosomal RNA
Rfam family: Bacterial small subunit ribosomal RNA
Source: RNAcentral